UGCGGAAGGAUCAUUACCGAGUGAGGGCCCUCUGGGUCCAACCUCCCACCCGUGUCUAUCGUACCUUGUUGCUUCGGCGGGCCCGCCGUUUCGACGGCCGCCGGGGAGGCCUUGCGCCCCCGGGCCCGCGCCCGCCGAAGACCCCAACAUGAACGCUGUUCUGAAAGUAUGCAGUCUGAGUUGAUUAUCGUAAUCAGUUAAAACUUUCAACAACGGAUCUCUUGGUUCCGGCAUCGAUGAAGAACGCAGCGAAAUGCGAUAAGUAAUGUGAAUUGCAGAAUUCAGUGAAUCAUCGAGUCUUUGAACGCACAUUGCGCCCCCUGGUAUUCCGGGGGGCAUGCCUGUCCGAGCGUCAUUGCUGCCCUCAAGCACGGCUUGUGUGUUGGGCCCCCGUCCCCCUCUCCCGGGGGACGGGCCCGAAAGGCAGCGGCGGCACCGCGUCCGGUCCUCGAGCGUAUGGGGCUUUGUCACCUGCUCUGUAGGCCCGGCCGGCGCCAGCCGACACCCAACUUUAUUUUUCUAAGGUUGACCUCGGAUCAGGUAGGGAUACCCGCUGAACUUAAGCAUAUCAAUAAGGCGGA
This 581-nucleotide ribosomal RNA is filed under the name Aspergillus fumigatus. Its description in RNAcentral is "eukaryotic LSU rRNA". The stretch from base 202 to 355 matches the Rfam family "5.8S ribosomal RNA". The record is from RNAcentral. Lineage: Eukaryota; Fungi; Ascomycota; Eurotiomycetes; Eurotiales; Aspergillaceae.